This 232-nucleotide ribosomal RNA is filed under the name uncultured bacterium. RNAcentral describes it as "partial 16S ribosomal RNA". It matches the Rfam family "Bacterial small subunit ribosomal RNA", at positions 99 to 334 of the family's 1533-position model. The record is from RNAcentral.
CGGACGGGUGAGUAACGCGUAGGAAUCUACCCAGUAGUGGGGGACAACAUGGUGAAAACCAUGCUAAUACCGCAUACGCCCCAAGGGGGAAAGCGGGGGAUCUUCGGACCUCGCGCUAUUGGAUGAGCCUGCGUAGGAUUAGCUUGUUGGUGAGGUAAAAGCUCACCAAGGCGACGAUCCUUAGCUGGUCUGAGAGGAUGAUCAGCCACACUGGGACUGAGACACGGCCCAG